Molecule: long non-coding RNA, 744 nt
Filed under: Populus trichocarpa (black cottonwood)
Lineage: Eukaryota; Viridiplantae; Streptophyta; Magnoliopsida; Malpighiales; Salicaceae
Description: long non-coding RNA (PTRI_LNC001673)
Source: RNAcentral
CCAGGUUUGAAAAACACUGACAAUCCAAAAUCAAUUGCCUUCAAAGGGGCAUUCUCCUUCUUGUUUCCAAACAAAAAGUUCUCAGGUUUUAGAUCCCGAUGCAUCACCCCAUGCUCGUGGCAUAUCUGGAUCAUGACAAAACAUAUCCCAAAAGCAUUAGGACUCUGCUAACUGAAUAUAAUGCGUGCAAUUUGGAAGCAGUAAUGUCAAUUGAGAACAUAUGCUGUAAGUUAGAAAGGAAGGGAACCCUAUUUGGCCCUUUAACUGAUUUUGGACAGCAUAGAAGUUAUUACCAAAAGGUUAUCACUGUGAAGCAAAUCCCAUUGUCAGCAAAAGAGUUUAAAAACAGCAGUGAGAAAUCAAAUGAAGAAUAAAGGAAACCGAUAAAACCAAGAGGUAGGAACCAAACAUUUCUAUAGUAACGGCACAGUUACUCACAAGUAUACCAAGAGAGGAAUCAAGAUUUAAUGAACAAUAGAGGUUAUUCAAAGCAAGCAGUAAGCACAAGAAGCAACGGCAAAAGGAGGAAAUCAACAUAAAGAGAAUCCACAGUAAAAACUAUAAGAUUUUCAGAUUGCCAGAAUCAAUAUCUGCCACAUCUACUCAUCAAGACAAACUAUCUCCUAUUUUCUGCCGGAUAAUAUUCACUAAUCACUUGCAAGAGAUUGCAUUUUUAUUAAGUGCUUAUGGUCCUAGACACCAAAUAAAAAAACCAUAUUUCCUCGGCACACAAAUAGCGCUAGC